CUUAUUUUGGCAGAUUUAAGUGCGCUAGAUUUAAGAUCUAGAAAUAUAGAAGAUUUUCUCUAUAAAU
RNAcentral lists this transfer RNA (67 nucleotides) under Columbicola passerinae. RNAcentral describes it as "tRNA-Leu". The record is from RNAcentral. Lineage: Eukaryota; Metazoa; Arthropoda; Insecta; Psocodea; Philopteridae.